GCUGGCGACCGGCGCACGGGUGAGUAACACGUAUCCAACCUGCCCUUUACUCGGGGAUAGCCUUUCGAAAGAAAGAUUAAUACCCGAUGGCAUAAUGAUUCCGCAUGGUUUCAUUAUUAAAGGAUUCCGGUAAAGGAUGGGGAUGCGUUCCAUUAGGUUGUUGGUGAGGUAACGGCUCACCAAGCCUUCGAUGGAUAGGGGUUCUGAGAGGAAGGUCCCCCACAUUGGAACUGAGACACGGUCCAAACUCCUACGGGAGGCAGCAGUGAGGAAUAUUGGUCAAUGGGCGCUAGCCUGAACCAGCCAAGUAGCGUGAAGGAUGAAGGCUCUAUGGGUCGUAAACUUCUUUUAUAUAAGAAUAAAGUGCAGUAUGUAUACUGUUUUGUAUGUAUUAUAUGAAUAAGGAUCGGCUAACUCCGUGCCAGCAG
Molecule: ribosomal RNA, 428 nt
Filed under: uncultured bacterium
Lineage: Bacteria
Description: bacterial SSU rRNA
Rfam family: Bacterial small subunit ribosomal RNA
Source: RNAcentral